Molecule: ribosomal RNA, 245 nt
Filed under: uncultured Garciella sp.
Lineage: Bacteria; Bacillati; Bacillota; Clostridia; Eubacteriales; Eubacteriaceae
Description: partial 16S ribosomal RNA
Rfam family: Bacterial small subunit ribosomal RNA
Source: RNAcentral
UACGUAGGGGGCAAGCGUUGUCCGGAAUUACUGGGCGUAAAGGGUGCGUAGGCGGUAAGUUAAGUCAGAUGUGAAAGUCCAGGGCUCAACCGUGGAAUUGCAUUUGAAACUGACUUACUUGAGUGCAGGAGAGGAGAGCGGAAUUCCUAGUGUAGCGGUGAAAUGCGUAGAUAUUAGGAAGAACACCAGUGGCGAAGGCGGCUCUCUGGACUGUAACUGACGCUGAGGCACGAAAGCGUGGGGAG